UGCCACAGCCAUAUCACCCUGCAGCCCAAGACUGGUUGCCCACUGAAGCUAAGGAGGGCUGAACCUGGCCAGUACCUGGAUGAGAGACUCCUGGGAAAACUUGGUUGCUGAUGGAA
RNAcentral lists this ribosomal RNA (116 nucleotides) under Sinocyclocheilus grahami. Lineage: Eukaryota; Metazoa; Chordata; Actinopteri; Cypriniformes; Cyprinidae. The record is from RNAcentral.